RNAcentral lists this unclassified non-coding RNA (1169 nucleotides) under Haliotis rufescens (red abalone). RNAcentral describes it as "tumor necrosis factor-like, transcript variant X3". Lineage: Eukaryota; Metazoa; Mollusca; Gastropoda; Lepetellida; Haliotidae. The record is from RNAcentral.
ACCAAAAUGGCGGAAAGUUAACAACAGGUUUUAGUUGUAUUCUUGCUUUCAUCAACAUCCUUGCCUGUGUGAUUUCAUUUGUUUCCAUCUUCAUGAGCAACAAUUACAUCACCUUACCUCAGUCGCACAUCAGACAGAAUGAUACAAGACUGGGACAAAUGCUUGCUGAGACACCCCCUACAGACUUGUCCUGCCUGAAGAUGAGGACAGAAAGCAGGAUGAUCCCCCUGACUUACAGUUUCUCAAUCUGCUGAAACCAGUGGCACACUUCUCUGGACUUGACUUUGACGAAGGCACUCAAGGGGAGAGAGGCAAUCUGAGCGUCACACGAAACUGGGCCAACCCUGAUGGUUCUGACAGAAAGCUCCUGUACAACGGGAUGAGUUACGAGAACGGCUCCAUCACAGUACCGGCAGCAGGAGUGUACUACAUCACAAGUCAUGUCAAGUUCUACGUCGAGGACAACAAGAAGGACGACAAGCCACUCCAAACAUUCCAGCACCAGGUUGUCCGCUAUAGCGCCUCCAGCCAGACACAGCUCGUGUUGUUUGAGAAUGCCGUGACUGAGUGUAAAGAGGGCAUCAAUGACGGAGCUCACCUGGAGUACCCGAGUGAUGCUGGUGGACUGGCUCAGUUAGAUGCUGGAGACCAGGUGAUGGUGAAAUCGUCACAUCUUCAUUUGCUGAGACACGAUCGUGACUGGCACUUUCUUGACGUCUUUGUCAUAUAAAGAUGCAGGAAAUGCUGGCGAAAUUACUUCUUUGCUUUCGUUUUGCACCAUGCUUCGUCUGUUCCAUUAACUAUACAGUUCUUUCCUGGCAUCUAUGCAUCUAACUUUCGGUCAUAUCAGUUUACAUGUCAGUCAGACCUGAUUUAUUACACCAAGAGUGUCCAACAGGAUAUACUCUAAACUUUCAGUACAGCUGUUACCACCCUUUCACGGUGUGCACCAGAUUGAUAACUAUUGCUGAUUUGUAAUCCAUGAUUAUUGAUCUGUUAGCAAACAACAGACGAAGUCCAUACGCCACAUGUGUGCAGUUCAGGGUUACCUAGUGUUAAUCGUUUUGAUUUGACAACCGCGACUCACUACUAACAUCCAGGAUGGAACAUCCAGGCCGACUCUUGUUUGUUGAUUUCUUCUUCGGUACAAUAAACACAAGUAAAGAUUG